This 135-nucleotide non-coding RNA is filed under the name Chloropicon mariensis. Lineage: Eukaryota; Viridiplantae; Chlorophyta; Chloropicophyceae; Chloropicales; Chloropicaceae. The record is from RNAcentral.
CUCAACCCGAAAAGACAAGAGGAAAGAGGAAAGAAGAAGAAAAAAAAGAAACGAGAAAAGAACGAACAAGUCCAAGGGAGUUAGCUUAUCCCCGUAGUGGUGGUGGUGGUUGCGGUGUUUGUGUAUUCUAUCGUC